AUUGAACGCUGGCGGCAGGCUUAACACCCGCAAGUCGAGCGGUAACAGAGAGAAGCUUGCUUCCCUGCUGACGAGCGGCGGACGGGUGAGUAAUGCCUAGGAAUCUGCCUAGUAGUGGGGGAUAACUUGCCGAAAGGUCAGCUAAUAACGCAUACGUCCUACGGGAGAAAGGAGGGGACCUUCGGGCCUUUAGCUAUUAGUUGAGCCUGGGUCGGAUGAGUUAGUUGGUGAGGUAAUGGCUCACCAAGACGGAGAUCCGUAACUGGUUUGAGGGGAUGAUCAGUAACACUGGAACUGAGACACGGUCCAGACUCCUACGGGAGGCAGCAGUGGGGAAUAUUGGACAAUGGGGGGAACCCUGAUCCAGCCAUGCCGCGUGUGUGAAGAAGGUCUUAGGAUUGUAAAGCACUUGAAGUUGGGAGGAAGAGCAGUUAACUAAUAUUUGACUGUUUUGACGUUACCGACAGAAUAAGCACCGGCUAACUUCGUGCCAGCCGCCGCCGUAA
This 506-nucleotide ribosomal RNA is filed under the name uncultured bacterium. RNAcentral describes it as "partial 16S ribosomal RNA". It matches the Rfam family "Bacterial small subunit ribosomal RNA", at positions 30 to 523 of the family's 1533-position model. The record is from RNAcentral.